AUAUGGGGAUAUAUGUAUACAUAUAACUGAUUCAUUUUGUUAUACAGCAGAAACUAACACGACAUUGUAAAGCAAUUAUACUCCAAUAAAGAUGUUAAAAAAAUAAAAUAAAAAUUAUUUUUCACAGCAAAAAAAAAAAAAGAAUACUAUAAUCAAGCUGUAUUUAUUCAGAGAAUACAAGGUUGGUUUUAAAUUGGAAAAGGUAGUAAUGAAUCCACCCCUCUAACAAAUUAAAGAAGAAAAAUCAUAUCAUUCUUACAGAUGUGGGAAAAGUCUUUGAUAAGAGUCAACAUCCUCUUAUGACUUUCAAAAAAACUCCAAAACCCCGCAAAAACCUCUUAGUAAUCUAGGUCUAGAAGAGUUUCUUUAACCUAAUAAAAGGAUAUCUAUUAAAAGUAUACAUACAGAAAACAUUAUUCUUUUUUUUAGGGUACUUUUUAAAUUUUUUUUAACAUCUUUAUUGGAGUAUAAUUGCUAUACAAUGGUGUGUUAGUUUCUGUUUUAUAACAAAGUGAAUCAGCUAUACACUGAUUUAGUGUAGUGUAUAACUACACUGUGUUAGUUUCUGUUUUAUAACAAAGUGAAUCAGCUAUACACUGAUGGGAAUAUACAUAUAUUCCCAUAUCUCUUCCCUCUUGCGUCUCCCUGCCUCCCACCCUCCGAUCCCACCCCUCUAGGUGGUCACAAAGCACCGAGCUGAUCUCCCUGUGCUAUGCAGCUGCUUCCCACUAGCUAUGUAUUUUACAUUUGGUAGUGUAUAUAUGUCCAUGCCACUCUCUCACUUUGUCCCAGCUUACCCUUCUCCCUCCCGUGUACUCAAGUGUAUUCUCUAGUAGGUCUGUAUCUUUACUCCCAUCUUGCCCCUAGGUUCUUCAUGACCCUUUUUUUUUAAUUCCAUAUAUAUGUGUUAGCAUACAGUAUUUGUUUUUCUCUUUCUGACUUAAUUCACUCUGUAUGACAGACUCUAGGUCUAUCCACAUCACUACAAAUAACUCAAUUUCGUUCCUUUUUAUGGCUGAGUAAUAUUCCAUUGUAUAUAUGUGCCACAUCUUUAUCCAUUCAUCUGUUGAUGGACACUUAGAUUGCUUCCAUGUCCUGGCUAUUGUAAAUAGAGCUGCAAUGAACACUGUGGUACAGAAAACAUUAUUCUGAAUGUUGAAAUGUAAGCACUCUCUUUAAGAUCAGGAAUAAAACAAGGAUGCUCAUUGUCUCCACUUUUAUUCAACAUUGUAUAAUUGGUCCAUGCCAGCACAGAAACUUAGAUACAAGAGCAAAUAAAAUGCAUAAGGCCUGGAAAGGAAGAAACAAAACUGUCAUUAUUUGCACAUUAUAUCAUCAAUUACACUAAAAAAUCCUAAAGAAUCUUCAGGUUUAUCAGAAUUAGUAAGUGCUUAAGCAGUGUUGUUGGAUACAAAAUCAAUACAGAAAAUCCACAGCAUUUUGGUACCACAACAAAAACCAGCUAGAAAAUAAAAUCAUAAACAUUACCAUUUAUAGAACUACGAAAAAUAUAAAGAAUCUGUGGUAGGCAGAAUAAUGACAUUCCAAGGAUGUCCACGUCCUAAUUCCCAGAACUUGUGAAAAUGAUGGGUUCGUGGCAAAGAGUAAUUAUGGGUACAGAUAAAAUUGAAGUUGCUAAUCACCUGACUUUAAAAUAGGGAGAUUAUCCUGGAUUAGCCAUGUGGGUCCAAUAUAUUCACAAGGUUUCUUAAAAGGGAAAGAGAGAAACAAAAGAGAACCCGAGAGAUGACAGCAUGAGAAGACUCUAGCCCGAUGUUGCUGGCUUUGAAGAUGGAGGAAGGGGCCGUGAGUCAAGAGGUGCCUCAACCUCUAGGAGCUGGAAAGACAAGGAAACAGAGUCUCCCCCCAGAGCCUCCGCAAGAACAAAGCCCUGCCCACACCUUGACUUUUACUCAGCAAGACUCAUUUUGCACUCUGACUUCAAGAACUGUAAGAUAAUCAGUUUGUGCUGUUUAAGCCACCAAGUUUGUAGUGACUUGUUACAGAAACAAUAGGAAACAGGGGCUUCCCUGGUGGCACAGUGGUUAAGAAUCCGCCUGCCAAUGCAGGGGACAUGGGUUCGAGCCCUGGCCGGGGAAGAUGCCACAUGCCACGGAGCAACUAAGUCUGUGAGCCACACCUGCUGAGCCUGUGCUCUAGAGCCCGUGAGCCACAACUACUGAGCCCGUGUGCCACAGCUGCUGAAGCCCGUGUGCCUAGAGCCUGUGCUCUGCAACAAGAGAAGCCACCGCAAUGAGAAGCCCACGCGCUGCAACGAGGGGUAGUCCCUGCUCGCCGCAACUAGAGAAAAGCCCUUGUGCAGCAAUGAAGACCCAAUGCAGCCAAAAAUGAAUAAAUAAAAUUUUAAAAACAGGAAACAAACACAGAAUCCAGGAAUAAAUCUUUAAUGUGUAAGACCGUUAUGGAGGAAAUUGUAAAAAUUUAUUGGAAGACAUUAAAGGAGAUCUAAGUAAAUGGUUGGAAGACUCUCUUUCAUAAAGAUGUAACUUCUCACUAAAUUGAUCUAUAGGUUCAAUGCAACACCAGUAAAAAUCUUAAUUUUUUUGUGGGGCGGUGAAGCUUGGCAAGGUGAUUCUAAAAUUCAUAUAUAAAUGCAAAGGCCCAAUAAUAGCCAACAUACUCUUGAAGAAUAAGCCAAAAUGUAUUAUAAAGCUAAACAAGUACACACUGGAAUAGAAAAAUGGGUCAAUGGAAAGCCCAGAAACAGACCUGUGCAUAUAGGGACAUAUGAUGUAUGAAAUAUUGCUGUCACAUGCCAGUGGGAAGGGGAUGGACUUUUCCUUAAAUAGUGCUCAGAAAGUAAAUGAGUAGCCAUAGGGAAAGAGAGAUACUGGGCCCUGCUACACACCAUAUGUAAAAAUUAUUCUAGGUUAAGACCUAAACGUGAAAGGCAAAGUAUAAAAUAUUUAGAAGACAUUAAAGAUAUCUUACGAUCUUGGGGUAGGGAUAGAUAUCCUAAAUAAGACACAGAAAGCACAAGCCAUAAAAAUGAUCAAUUUCACUAUAUUAAAACUAAGAACUUCCAUUCAUCAAAAGGCCAUAAAGAAAGUGGAGAGACAAGUCACAAACUGGGAGAAAUAUGAAGAGGGUCUUACACCGUAAUGAGAUUCUUCACCCUGGAAAUGGCCUCGCCUGACUGCAAACGAGGCAUGUCUCUUUUAGGGAGGAGGGAAGAAUGAGCACCAGAAGUUUCUACCACACCUAGUGAGGUUGAACUGGUCCUACCCGAAGACCCAACGAUUCUACUGUCAUGUACAUAACGUGAUGAAUGUACAGUAGCUUGUGUAACAUGAGCUGUGUGCCAGAAUGUUUACAGCAGAAUUGUUCAUAGCAGGGAAAAAAAGGACAUAAGUUCACAUUCCAUAGUAAGAAUGGAAUGUACAGAUCGUUUCAGCAUAUUCAUAUAGCAGAAUAGUAUACAAUGAUGAAUAUGCAACAAUGUGGACCCACUUCCAAAACAUAACGUUGAUGGAAGAAAGGCAACAGAAAAGCACAUGCAAUAUGAUUCUAAUUACUUGAAGUCCAAAAAGCAAAUCAGUGUAUUUGUUAAGGAUACAUACCAAGUUGUUACAAAAAAAAAAAAAAAAAAAAGACAAUACAGACAAACAAGUGAGUAACUGACACAAAAUUUAGCAUAGAUUCCCUCUGGAUUCCCUCAGAACUCUCAUGGGACCUGAGAGGGGAAACGGGGCUCUGGGAAUCAGGUAAUGUCCCAUUUAUUCACCUGGGCAGUGAAAACUUAGUUCUAUGCCUCUGUCCAAAAAUUGAGAUGUUCAGUUCAGGCCCAGGUGAUGAGAAUUGUCAAAGACAUGGCUUUCGGUAAAAAAAGAAAAAAAAAAAGAAAAAGCUCCUUUGGCACAGAUUCAGCAAACCAAUAAAGAAAUUCUUUCCUUCCACCUUUACUUUGCCAUUUCAAACCUGCUGAUUAAUCACAGUGUGUUCCUGGCAGCCGCCCAGACCAGCUCCUCUGAAAAUAGGUGAAGUGGGAGCCCUCGGACAAGAGCACCUUCAGCACCAUGGACAGCAACCCACGGCUGGCCCUUCUGAGACCAGCUAUGUAGGGAUUCAGAAUGUUGCAGAAGGGCAGAGGCCUUCAAAGUCAUGGCCCAGGAGGCAGAGGAUGAAACAGAACCCAGGUCUCCUGAUACCUAAUCUAGUCUUCAUUCCAUUGCUCCUGGCUUUGGCUAAAUGGACUGAAACUCCUCCCUGAACCAAGAAGUUGCCAGGGGCCUUCCACAUGUGGCUUUCACACAUGCCAUUGAAGCCUUGGGCUUCGCAGUCAGUCUCAGCAGGGUUGAGAUCUGACUCUGCCUGCAUCAUCUGAGUGCCCUCGGAAGUCUCUUCACCUCUCCAAGCCUCAGUGUCAGUCAUAUCAACUCCCCACAGAGUUGCUGCGAGAAUUCAGUAAUAUUAGAUCUUGUGCUCUGGUGUGCAUUUAAAACCUAGAAAAUUCCCUCUCCCUCAGUGGAUUUCAUAUAGAAAAAAAAAAUUGGUUCUUUGGAACAUUUCAAAGAUGCUGAAACAACUAGAGGCUGUUCUGGAAAUAAACCCCACAAAAUUUCCGUAUAAAAUCUUGGCAUUGCUAACAGAUAUUAAGGCUCCCUUAGAUGUCGAUGUCUUAGCUUUGUCCAGUCUGGUUCAUUAGAGGCCCCUGAUCGUUGCCUAAUAUGUCCUUACUUUUUGUCAUGCCAAGAGAUGCUCAGAGAAGAGGGGUGAAAAUAUGCCUACAAAAUGUCUCUAAGGCUAAGGGUCCUCAACCACACACUGCUUUCCCACAUUGAACCUGAAGGGUAAUAUAUUGUUCUCUUGAUUAGUCGCUAGAUUCUAUUUACUAGUAUUUUAUUUAGAAAUUUUCACCUAUACGUGUGCCAUCAGUCUAUAGUUCCCCUUAUUUUGUAUUAAAGAUAUUCUAGAUGCAUAGAAUGAAUAAGGGCAUUUCUCUCCUAUCCUUUUCUAUGGCCUCAAAUAGUUUAAACUGUAUUAAAAUGAUUCAUUCUUUAGAAAUUAGAUAAAACUCAGCUGUGAGCCUGUCUGAUUCUGCUGUCUUUUCACUGAUAGAUCUCCAGUCACCUUCUAAUCUCUUCUAUGGUAAUUGGUCUAUUAAAAUUUUCCAUUUUUUCUUGGACUGAUUUUGGUAAUUUACUAGGAAAUCAUCCAUUUCCCUGAGGUUUUCAAUUUGUUAUCACAGAGUUGCGUGUAAUAUUCUCUCAUAAUUAGUUUUAUCUCUCCUGUAUCUGUAGUUAUGUUGGUAUGUCUGCCUUCUUACUGCUAAUCUUGUCUAAUUUUACUGUCUCUCUUCAUUCUCCAUAAUUGGACUCACGAGGGUUUUUUCUAUUUUAUUAGCCAUUUCAAAGGAUAAGCUUUUGCAUUUACAUAUUCUUCCCACUGUUUAAAUGUUUUUUUCUAUUUCAUCAGUUUCAGUUCUUUAUGAAUUCCCCUUUUGUUGUUUCUUUUCCUAAUGGCUUGAGACAAGUACUAAAAAUGAUGUUAUGUUUAGCCUUUGCCCCUUCGAAUGAAGGCAUUUAGGCGGCGUGUUUCUAAGCUGUUAUCUUUACUGCAUAUGUUUUGACACGAAGCUUUUUCUUUGUUUUCCAGAUGAUAUAUAACUUCUUCUUUGAUUUUUCUUUGAUCCGAAAGUUAUGCAUGAAUGUUUUAAAUUUGCAAGUAAAGUGUUUGGCUCCCAUUUUAUUAUUAAUUACUACGUGUGUUGAAUAUGGCUGGAGCAUGAGGCCUGUGAAAACUUCAUUCUUGGGUUCUUGAAUUUGGUAAUGUUUUAUUGUCAGCCUAUUAUAUACUGAUUUUCCUCGGUGACAUUUGGGCACAUGAAAAGGGAUUCACUAUUUUUAAAAAAAAAAAAAAUAUAUAUAUAUAUAUAUAUAAAACUAUAUUAUAUAUAUGUUCACAGUUAUUGGUUGCAUUAUUCAGUUCUGGUGUUAUUACUUUGUUGUUUUUGAAUUUCAGAUAUACAUAGAAGCAGACAGAUAACGUAUGCUAUACAUCCAUCAUCAAGAUUCAGUAGCUGUGUACAUUUUGCUAUGUUUGUUUUUUACUGAGGUAUUUAGAAUUAAAUUAUAGGCUUCAUGGCAUUUCACCCCUAGAUACUUCAGUUUAUCUCUUUACUAAGGAAGGAUGCUUCCCUACUUAACCAUGAUAUCAUUACUGCACCUGAGAAAAUAACAGUGAGGUUCUAUAAUCUUCUAAAACUCCAUCCAUAUUCAAAUUUCCCGAAUUGUCCCUAAGACAGCUUUUAAAAAUCUGAUUUGCUCAAACUAGGAUCCAAUCAAUGGCCAUGCAAUGAAUUUGAUUGCCUCUUAACUUCUAACAGUUUCUUAAUUUCUAAUACUCUUGUCCAUUUCUUACGGAGAUCGUGCAAUGGUCUCUCACUAUAAUUAUACUUUUAUCCAGUUCUCUUUCCUUUCCUAAUAGGUUUUGCUUACAUAUUUAACUCUUUUUUUCUUUUUAAAUACAGGCUUAUGACUGUAUAGCACUUCAUUGUAUAACAUUCUAAUUUAUCACAUAUAAAUAUUUUAAACCUUUUUGAGAUUACUAUCUACCCGUCCUACUUUAUUUUCAUUUGCUUUAUCCUUGUAGCUAUUUUCCCAGCAACUUAUUUUAUUUUAUUAUUAUUUGUAAUGUCUUUUUUUGAACAUCUUUACUGGAGUAUAAUUGCUUUACAAUGUUGUGUUGGACUUCCAGCCUCCAGAACUGUGAGAAACAAAUGUGAGUUGUGUAAGCCCCCCAGACUGUGGUAUUUUGUUAUGAUCGCCCAAGCAGACAGACCCUAAGACCCCUUCCAUUGCACUGAUAGCCAUUCUCUCUUCCCUGUUUCCCAGAUCUCUCUACUUUGAAAAUAAGAUACCACCUAUUCCACACAAUAAGAUAUUCUAUUUUUCCCCUGAUUAUUCCUCCCCAGUCCAAUAAGAUGACACUUCUAGACAUCUUUUAUUUUCUUCCUUUCCCCUCCCUCUCCAAGAUGAGAUCCUUGCAAAGUUUAUAAUUGUCCUUCCUGGCCAUAACUUGUAGCUAUUGCUGAGCUAUGACUUUUAUAAAUAGACUAUCAUUACAAUUUUUCCUUUCAGUACGGACCUUCAAUUUUAGGAACCCUUACUUAGCACUUAGAUGAUACAGUCUGGGACAGGUCUAUCCUUAUUCAUUUUUAUUCAGUUUACCACAUAGCAAGUUCCACUGCUCACCAUUACAUCUUUCCCUUUUCAUCAUUCUUCAUUUCAUUGGCUCUGUUCUGUCUUCUUUAUUUUCAGGUUUGGGUCUUCUCUUGAGUCUUUUCUUCAAAUGAAGGAUGCAGGGGAUAGAAGAGAAUUUGGGAAGUGUACUCUCAGAAUCUUCCUUUUGCCUUGACGGGUGAGUGGGAACUUGCCUAGGGACAGGAUUCUUGGGUGAAGGUCUUUGCCAGGUAUGAGGGUGGACAGAAGACCCCAGGCUUGGCCAUGUGGCCUGCUUUGGCCAACACAGUGCAUCCAGAAGUGAUGGAGGAUGUUUCUGGGCAGAAGCUUUUGGGACCACGGUGAAAUCUGUCAGGUUCCAUCUCCCUGUCUGGGAUGGUGGAAGCCUAGGGAAAGGGAGCAUCUGUCAGCCUAGGUCUCAGGGGGCCAGUGAACAGAGCUACUAUCAACUCAACAUGGGCAGGAAAUAAGCCUUUGUAAUUUGAGCCACUGAGUUUUUUAUUUAAACAAUGUUCUAGUUCUGCUAUGUCUCAGUCAGCGCAGGCUGCUGUGACAAAAUGCUGCAGACAGUGCUGGGGGUGGGGGGUGACCAACAACAGACAUUUAUUUCUCAUGGUUCUGGAGGCUGGAGUGUCCAAGACUGGGCGCUGGCAGAUCCGGCACCUGGCAAGAGCCCUCUUCCUGGUUUGCAGAUGCCCUUUCUCACUGUGUCCUCACGUGGCCGAGAGAUAGUGAGAGAGAGAGGGCUCUGAUCUCUUCCUCUUACUAUAAGAACACUAAUCCCAUUACGGGGCCACACUCUCAUGACCUCAUCUAAACGUGAUCACCCCCCGAAGGCCCCACCACCGAAUGCCAUCACACUGAGGGUUUCAACAUAUGAACGUGGGGGACACAGACAUUCAGUCCAUGACAUGCUGUAUAAUCUAUCCCAUCCUGACUGAUUCAGAAACCGAUAGGAUGCGGGGUGCUCUCACUCUCCAGGUACAACUCUCCCCGUCGUGUCUGGCUCUGGGCCCCCCUAGAUGCCAUGAUUUUUCUUUGUCAGCUCUUUGGAGGCUCAGAUCUGAUAGCUGAGUGCCCCUGUGUUGAUCUGGGUCCUCCAAGAAGCAGAUGUUGAGAUGCAACUAAACACACAAGAAAUUUACUAGGGAGGACACUUAAGAGAGGAAACGGGGAGGGAGCUGGGAGAGCCAUCACACCGUGAUCUGACCCAAGUGAAAGAGGGAGGGAAGGAAGGAUGGUAGGGUGGAAACCAAAUACUCAGUUAAAUUUAGCUGCCAAAAGGCUACUGCUCAGAAAAGGCAAAUAGACAGGAGGUGAAGUGAGGCCUGGCCCCAGAGUCUGGCCUGACACUUCCUUUCCAUGGUAGCUGAGGUGCAGGCCAGAACACAGGUCAGUAUGGCCAAGUACGGGCUGCACAGGAGAGAAAGGGGUGUGGGGUGCAUUGGGGACUGAAUUGUGGACAGUACUGCUGAUGAAGGAUCGUGGGAGCCAACGUGUACACAGUACAUCGGUCUGUGGUGUGUAAGCCUCCUGACCUCACCUUUGCAGCCUCCAGGGCCUGGACCAGGAACUGGCCGAGUACAUGCUUAACAGACAUUCAAGAAAGAAUGAAGACCUGUAUCUCUACUCUGGUCUCAGGUUCUAAGACAUAGUCUGGGAGAGAGAGACUUUGGGUGGGAGCACCAAGGAGGUGUGCACCAGCACCAGAGUCAGGGAAACUUACCCUGAUCGUCUCAUCCCCACCCGUCAUCGCUGCCCCCUUCUACCUUGUCUGCACCCCACAUUCUCCCUCCUCUUUGGUUCCUGCAUCUCUCCUUCUUCUCUCUGAUCCCCCAGUCUCUCCAUCCUUCUCUCUGGUCCUCCACUUUCCCUUCCUCUUUCCGAUGUUCCAACUCUCCCGCUCCUGCCCCUGCUCUGCUGGGUUCAAAAUCUCAGGACUGUUGUGCAGGAGUCUCUGGUGCCCCUGCAUUUGGAGAAGCAACAGGAGCUCAUGAGAGAGUGAGGUUCAAAGCUAGGGACAGAGACAAACACAACCAGCUCACCUUCCUUCAGUGCUUACCUGUGCCAGGCGCUCUGCUAAGUACAAAACACACCGCGUCCCCAUUUCACAGAUGAGGAAAUUGAGACUUGGGUGAAGUGACAGGCCCAAGGUCAAUCAGCCAGUAUAUGGUGGAGCCAGGAUUCAAACUCAGGACCAUCUGAUUCCAAAGCCCACCUGUUUGCACUACCUCCACCCCAAGCUCGGAGACGGUGCCAGUGUGGUACCUGGCUUUUCACCCUCACCACCAUCCAAUCAGCCAGGAGCCCUCAUUCCACCCAUUCUGCAAGGGACGGGCCUGAGGCUUGAAGUCCAGGGGUUCACCCAGGAAGUCGGUGCCCAGAUCUGAGCCAGGUCGGCCCUAGUGCACACGCAGACUGAGUCCUUGACCAUUAUGGGCCACCUCCUCACACGAGGUGUCCCCUCCAGCCCUCCUCCACCCCCAGCAUCGUGGUCCUGAUGCACCCAUGCUCCAGCCGGCCUUGGUCCGGGGCUGUUCACUUGCGCUGUGUUAGGACUGCACGGUUGUCACAUACUCAAGGGAUGGAAUCUCUGCCUGGCUCCAUCCAAGCUGCACAGCGGCAAUGGAGUGUGAGAAAAACAGGAGUGCAACCUGUGAUGUGGUCCUUCUCAGCUCAGCCUUCUCCUGGGCAUCCUCCUCUCUAACCGUAUCCUCGAACCUUCUUGAACAUCCAUCCCCUUUGCGUUCUCACCUGCUCCCUUGCACUUGACCCUUAAGGAAGGUCUUACAUCAGCAUCCGUGGACUUUAGGGUGUAAAAGUCAGUGUUGCCCAGGGCCGGCCCCAUUGCUGAAAUGGUGCUAACUUCCCUGGGGAAAAUCCUUAGGAUUUUGUUUCUUUAUAUUUCUCUCUACUUUUUAUAUUUUACGCAAAAAGUAUUGUUUGUGAUCAAGAAUAAAUAAAUUAAAAGGGUACAAUGAUUAUAAAGAGUCAGUAAUUCAACCUGCCGCCAUUAAAGAGAUUUUAGGCAUCUGAGUGGAGGUGUGGGAGGGAUUUGAGGAACUGGGGACUCUUCCUGUUGCUGCGGAAAUCGCACCUUAUCCACCAGGCCUGUCCUAGGUCCUUGGAGACCAGACAGCAUCGGAAGCUGCAGUGAUUUCACCCAACUCACCCCCGGGGUGCCUGGUCCCCUGUGAGUGGACCCCGGCCCCGACAAGAGACGCUCAGCAGUGGCCUCUGGGAGGCUGGGGCCAUGGGCUGUGUGCACUGCAGGCCCAGCCCCUUCACAGUCAUCAGAGUUGGAGUCGUCAUUGUUUUAAUUGACCACCCAUUUCUUGGGGACCCUUCUUCUUCCAGGUUGGAGAGCUCCCCAGGUGCCCUGUGGUGCUGAUUCUACAGGAUGUGGGUGCCCCACACUGUCCCAUGAAGCGGAUGUGCCUUCUCUCCCUCCCCACACUAUGCACGCGUGGACUUCCAUGAAUGCGCAAGUGAAAUCCAUCUUCCAUCCGUGGGCUGCGAGAACCUCCGUGAUCUGGCCCUGCCUCCCGUCCUCCUGGGGGGGCUCGGAGCCCUGACCUCUGACCUCAUCUUGUGCCAACUUCCUCUGGGCCAGCAUCCCAGCCACAUUUGCCUUCUGGCUCUUCCCUGAAUAGGCCAGCGCCCCUCCCCUGACCCCAGGGCCCUUGCACAGGCUGUUCCUCUGCUUAGACACCCUUUCCUGGGCCCAAACGUGUCAUUCAAGUCUCAGCUCCAGUGUCAUCUCCACGGGCUGGCCAUCCCUGACCACUGCACCUCAGAUCUCUCUCUGCCCAGUACACUUUUCACCGUCCUGUGUUUCUCAUCUUCCUGCAAUCACCUGUCUCUGGCUUUUCCCUGAUGGUUAACCGGUUUACUGUUCACUUUCCCAGCAGGACGAUUGCUCCGUGACAGCAGAGACAGCUGGCCCCCCAAUACUCCUCGAGGCAAGGGCUGGAUUUCCAAGCUAUGUGGACUCCCUGGAGACCCUCUGGGGGGCCCUGGACCUGGGCUCGGGGGCCUGGGAGGUGGAUGGUGUCCCAGCUCUGCAGACGAUGAUGACUCUGUGACCUCCCAUAAGUCCCUGGACUUCUCCGGGCUGCCGUCUCCUUAUUCAUCGAACGAGGAAGGAGACCUAACUGCCAGUGUACCUUCCGGCCCUGUGGGAAGAGACUUAAACCCCGGAUGGGGCCCUACAAUGCGUGCAUCCUCAGAGUGUGGCUGUGCCUUCUCCACGCCCAUAGCAACCAGAGAGCUGGGAUCAGCCCAUCCCACGGCCUGGGGACUGGCCAGGAAGCCCUUUGGGGUCCCACCGUCUACACUGGUCUGGGCUCCCGCAGCCCCUGUGACCCACGGGUCUCCAGCUCCAGACCUGCCAUGGCCAUCUCCCAUCUAUCUUGUGUCACAAACUCCCAGCCCCUGCCUGGCACGGCGGCCCCGAGCCUGGCAGGUGAUGUUUCAGGGGCAGAGAAAGCCCCUCUGAAGCCCCAGACCCUUGCAGAGCUCCCAUCAGCUCAGUGGAUGUUUCCUGAUCCCUACUCUGUGUUGGGGACACAGACAGGUCGGACAGGCCCUGUCCUAGGAAUCUCGAGGCCUGGACCGGAACAGGGGCUGUUCGCACCGGGGCACGUGGGCCAGGCCCAGACCCCACCUGGGCCAGAAGGGUUUCCAGGGGAAGGCUCCCAUGGAACAGGAGCCUCUGGAAGCACCCCACCCUCUCUUCCCUCCGCCGGGAGGUGACAGGCCCGUGAUUAUACAAACGAUACACCUGCGAGUCCCAGAAUAGCAGCAGUGUGUACAGGGAUGCCUGUCUCGCUGCCACCGCGGCUGCAUUUGCAGAAAUACCUUCUGCCGCACAAAGGUGAACAUGGCAGAGGCGAGAACCAGGCUUCUGAAAAGGGAAAAUAUUUAAACACCUUCCGCGGGGAUCUGUAAACUCUCGGCACGGGGACAACGAUGGCGCCAUGUGACUGGACUAAAGUUAGCUCCCACCGGAGGAAGCUGACUCCCCGGCCAGGGAGGUGGAGGGAGGAGGGCAGCGUGUCCUCCGCGGGGCGGGCGGGAUGAGCUCCCGCACCGCGUGGCCCCGCCUGCGGGCCAGGCCUCCGCCGGCGAGCCGCACACGCCUCCCCGCGCUUCAUCCAGAUGGAUGGAGAGCCCUCUUCUGCCCUUGCCAACCAACCGGUGGGGUGGGCACGGAGCGGGUCGCCCGGAGCGGGUCGCCCACUCGCCCACGGUCACGCCGGGUGGAAACGACAAGCUUGGGAUUUGGAUCCCGGCCGCCUGACUCAGAAGCCGGUACUUAUCCCACAGCCCGAGUGCCAGUCGGGGUCCGUCUGGGAGAACUGAUCUGAUGGUGAUGGAGAGCCUGUGCACACCCCGUGUGCGCUUUGGGGACACGCUGCUUCGGACGGGGGGGUGGGGUCCGCAGAGCAGCCUCCACGCCCCGGCUCUGCCCCGUGCCCGUGCUGGACAACUUCCAGGUGUUCCUGUCCACAGCCACAUCAACAACCGCGGGGCAUCCCGUCUCACACCCGAGCGCAAGCUUCCCCACGUCCCACAUUUAGAGCGUUCUCCGUAAGCUAUUGUUUGUUUUUAAGAGCGGAAGAUUUUUUAUUUUUAAUUAUUCUUAUUUACGUCAGCAUUAGUAUUACGAAGGAGAAGAGCUGGGUUCAACAAAUGUCCCCUCUCUAUGGGUGUCUAAUUAUUUUACGCACUGGGUGGUGAGGAGGUGACUGAGAGAAAGGUCACCAGUGCCAUUUCCUGGCCACCGGUACGUCGUUCUUGAAUCCAUUUCAUUAAUCUAGUCAGCAAACGCCCAGGAGCCUCUGCUCUGCCAAGCCCCACGUACCCAGAAGCGGAGGCUGAGGGCAGGAUGCCCUCCCCACUGCCCAGGAGUCCCGCUGUGGGCGUGGACAUGCUGCCCUCCCAUCUCCUGGGCCUGGUUUUCGAACAGCCUCCCUCAGGGGUUGGCCCUGGCGCUCCGGCCUCGGUUAAUGAGACCCUCCUGCUGGGCACAGAGUUCGUGCCCCUCCAGCAACCCCCCUCAGGAGCUGUCAGCUGGUGAAGCCUCUGCCGAUGGCCUGAUUGAUCCUGGCAGCACUGGGGCUCCGUGGGGAACACGAUGGAGCUAUUUAUGGAGCAGGUGUGGAGCUGGGCAGUGGUUCAGGCUGCGCGUUAAGAAGCCUGAAAUCCACUGAUCAUAUUUCCUGCAGUAAAGCAAGGGCUUGUGUGUGUGUUGGGGGGGUGGGGUUGGGGGCCGCCCUUGGCUCGAAGGAGGGGCCCCUGGCCUUGCCUCUGCCCUCAUUCGCAUGUCACCCUGAGUCCCAGAGAGGGCUGGCUGGCUCCUCACCUGCUAGAUGAACUUCCUACUCUUAAGAGUCCUCUAACUCCGGGGGCAGAUCAGAUCCUCCCUGAGCCUCGAACCUGCACACCGAUCGUUCCUGCAACAGUUUAGAGUGUGAAUCUCCCAGGCGUCUUUGCCCACGUGGUCACAAUUGGAGACAUCACCGCACAAGGAGAACUCUGGGGCUCAGAAAUUCCAACCUUUUCGCCAUCACACUGGUCCAGCCUGGUAGCCUGUGCCUGGAGAGAAGGAUGCAGCCCCCCAGCUCCCACCCCACCCCACAAAGGAUCUGCAGUCAUGGUCACUGUCCUAAGCUUAGAGCCUUGGCUUCAUCACCGGCCAAGGGGAUGAUGAUGGCCUCACAGAGUCAUCAUGAAUGCUCUAUUCCCAGCUCAGGCUGAACACCCAGCAGGUGCUCAAGAAAGGCUCACUCAGGACCAGCCCACCAGGGCGCCAUACACCACCAUCACGGUGCCACUUGCUCGCGGCUCCCUACGUCCUCUCACAAUGCCAUCUCAGCUGGGUCCAGGUUGGUGAUGGCCUUGAAAGGAAACAGGUGAGCACUGAGCCCAGGACGAGCCCUGUGUGGACCCCUGUGUUCAAGAUUCUCAGGCUGUAACAGAUCUCGACCAAAGACAGGGCUGGGAUUGAUUAGCAAUGUCUGCUGUGGGCCCAGGCCAAGGGAAGGCAGCCUGUGUGCCAAUAUUGGUGAGCUCACCCUUGGACCCACUCCCCUCUCCAGGCUCACUCCUCACUCCUUCCACUGUCUGAGCUCUUGUUGCUUUCUGCCCUCUCUUCCACCUCUGCAUUUCGUGUUCUUUCUCCUCCUUCUUCAUUGCAUUCGACCCCCAGGGACAUCAGAGUCAAGGCCUAAACCUCAGAGACUCUCCGGGUCCUGGCAGGCAACCACCUUUGCCAUCUGCACAGCUAUUUUUUUUUU
Orcinus orca (killer whale) is the source of this 14503-nucleotide long non-coding RNA. RefSeq lists it as uncharacterized. The transcript is spliced from 2 exons. NCBI's taxonomy places the organism in Eukaryota, Metazoa, Chordata, Mammalia, Artiodactyla, Delphinidae. The record is from RefSeq and is a predicted model, not a curated record.